This 312-nucleotide ribosomal RNA is filed under the name Triticum aestivum (bread wheat). RNAcentral describes it as "partial small subunit ribosomal RNA". The record is from RNAcentral. Lineage: Eukaryota; Viridiplantae; Streptophyta; Magnoliopsida; Poales; Poaceae.
AAUGAUGCCCUUUACUCACUAGCAAUGGGUCCUAAUACUCGGGUAAGACAUUAUGAAUCUUGCGUUGUUGGAGAUGUGCGCUACAACACCCUUGCACGAGACGAAGGCAGGAAGACACAAAACAGUGCCAUCAUGAGCACGGAUACGUAUGACAAAGAGACAACUGAAAUGUAUGCUGACAUAACAGACAUUGUUCAGUUGCAGUAUAUCUCUAGUUUCGAGGAUCAUCGGUGUGUGGUUCUGUUGUGUUGUCGUUGGUAUAACCUCUUUUCCAGGAUCGCAAAACUCAGAGUUGAUGAUUAUUUCAAAUCC